GGCGUUUUGGCGGAGUGGUUAUCGCGAUAGACUAGAAAUCUGUUUCCUUCGGGAGCGUAGGUUCAAAUCCUGCAGACGUCG
Molecule: transfer RNA, 81 nt
Filed under: Rhynchosporium agropyri
Lineage: Eukaryota; Fungi; Ascomycota; Leotiomycetes; Helotiales; Ploettnerulaceae
Rfam family: tRNA
About the family: Transfer RNA (tRNA) molecules are approximately 80 nucleotides in length. Their secondary structure includes four short double-helical elements and three loops (D, anti-codon, and T loops).
Source: RNAcentral